GAUGAACGCUAGCGGCAGGCCUAACACAUGCAAGUCGAGGGGCAGCACAGAAAUUCAGCAAUGAGUUUUGGUGGCGACCGGCAGACGGGUGCGUAACGCGUGUGCAACCUACCCUUAACAGGGGAAUAACGGAGGGAAACUUCCACUAAUACCCCAUAACAUCCCACGAGGCAUCUCUUGUGGUUGAAAGCUCCGGCGGUUAAGGAUGGGCACGCGUUGUAUUAGAUUGUUGGUGAGGUAACGGCUCACCAAGUCUACGAUACAUAGGGGGACUGAGAGGUUAACCCCCCACACUGGUACUGAGGCACGGACCAGACUCCUACGGGAGGCAGCAGUGAGGAAUAUUGGUCAAUGGACGCAAGUCUGAACCAGCCAUGCCGCGUGCAGGAAGACGGCCCUAUGAGUUGUAAACUGCUUUUGCAAGAGGAUAAUUGCGGGUACGUGUACCCGCUUGAAGGUACCUUGCGAAUAAGGAUCGGCUAACUCCGUGCCAGCAGCCGCAGUAA
Molecule: ribosomal RNA, 506 nt
Filed under: uncultured bacterium
Lineage: Bacteria
Description: partial 16S ribosomal RNA
Rfam family: Bacterial small subunit ribosomal RNA
Source: RNAcentral